This 389-nucleotide ribosomal RNA is filed under the name uncultured bacterium. Its description in RNAcentral is "bacterial SSU rRNA". It matches the Rfam family "Bacterial small subunit ribosomal RNA", at positions 28 to 419 of the family's 1533-position model. The record is from RNAcentral.
GACGAACGCUGGCGGCGUGCUUAACACAUGCAAGUCGAGCGGUAAGGCCCUUUCGGGGGUACACGAGCGGCGAACGGGUGAGUAACACGUGGGUGACCUGCCCUCAGCUCUGGGAUAAGCCUGGGAAACCGGGUCUAAUACUGGAUAUGACUCCAUGACGCAUGUUGUGGGGUGGAAAGCCUUGUGCGGCUGAGGAUGGGCCCGCGGCCUAUCAGCUUGUUGGUGGGGUGAGGCCUACCAAGGCGACGACGGGUAGCCGGCCUGAGAGGGCGACCGGCCACACUGGGACUGAGACACGGCCCAGACUCCUACGGGAGGCAGCAGUGGGGAAUCUUGCGCAAUGGGCGAAAGCCCGACGCAGCGACGCCGCGUGAGGGAUGACGGCCUGG